This 426-nucleotide ribosomal RNA is filed under the name uncultured bacterium. RNAcentral's name for it is "bacterial SSU rRNA". It matches the Rfam family "Bacterial small subunit ribosomal RNA", at positions 354 to 796 of the family's 1533-position model. The record is from RNAcentral.
GUCGGGAAUUUUGGGCAAUGGGCGAAAGCCUGACCCAGCAACGCCGCGUGAAGGAUGAAGUAUUUCGGUAUGUAAACUUCGUAAGAAUGGGAAGAAACAAAUGACGGUACCAUUUGUAAGCCCCGGCUAACUACGUGCCAGCAGCCGCGGUAAUACGUAGGGGGCAAGCGUUGUUCGGAUUUACUGGGCGUAAAGGGCGCGUAGGCGGCGGAACAAGUCACUUGUGAAAUCUCUGAGCUUAACUCAGAACGGCCAAGUGAUACUGUUCUGCUAGAGUGCAGAAAGGGCAAUCGGAAUUCUUGGUGUAGCGGUGAAAUGCGUAGAUAUCAAGAGGAACACCUGAGGCGAAGGCGGGUUGCUAGGCUGACACUGACGCUGAGGCGCGAAAGCUAGGGGAGCAAACGGGAUUAGAAACCCUAGUAGUCC